This 402-nucleotide ribosomal RNA is filed under the name Verrucomicrobiota bacterium. RNAcentral's name for it is "Verrucomicrobia bacterium partial 16S ribosomal RNA". It matches the Rfam family "Bacterial small subunit ribosomal RNA", at positions 355 to 776 of the family's 1533-position model. Lineage: Bacteria; Pseudomonadati; Verrucomicrobiota. The record is from RNAcentral.
UGGGGAAUUUUGCACAAUGGGGGAAACCCUGAUGCAGCGACGCCGCGUGAUUUAGAAGGCUUUCGGGUUGUAAAAAUCUUUUGUAUGGGAAGAAAAUGACAGUACCAUACGAAUAAGGACCGGCUAAUUACGUGCCAGCAGCCGCGGUAAUACGUAAGGUCCGAGCGUUUUCCGGAAUCAUUGGGCGUAAAGGGGACGUAGGCGGAUAAGCAAGUUAGGAGUGAAAUCCUAUAGCUCAACUAUAGUAAGCUUUUAAAACUGCUCAUCUUGAGGUAUGGAAAGGAAAGUGGAAAUCCUAGUGUAGCGGUGAAAUGCGCAGAUAUUAGGGGGAAUACCGGAGGCGAAGGCGACUUUCUGGCCAUAUACUGACGCUGAGGUACGAAAGCGUGGGUAGCAAACAGG